Molecule: ribosomal RNA, 252 nt
Filed under: uncultured bacterium
Lineage: Bacteria
Description: partial 16S ribosomal RNA
Rfam family: Bacterial small subunit ribosomal RNA
Source: RNAcentral
UACGUAGGUCCCGAGCGUUGUCCGGAUUUAUUGGGCGUAAAGCGAGCGCAGGUGGUUUAUUAAGUCUGGUGUAAAAGGCAGUGGCUCAACCAUUGUAUGCAUUGGAAACUGGUAGACUUGAGUGCAGGAGAGGAGAGUGGAAUUCCAUGUGUAGCGGUGAGAUGCGUAGAGAUUAGGAAGAACACCAGUGGCGAAGGCGAUUCUCUGGACUGUAACUGACGCUGAGGCUCGAAAGCGUGGGGAGCAAACAGG